This 468-nucleotide ribosomal RNA is filed under the name uncultured bacterium. RNAcentral describes it as "partial 16S ribosomal RNA". It matches the Rfam family "Bacterial small subunit ribosomal RNA", at positions 28 to 507 of the family's 1533-position model. The record is from RNAcentral.
GACGAGCGCUGGCGGCGUGCUUAACACAUGCAAGUCGAACGGAAAGGCCCUGCUUUUGUGGGGUGCUCGAGUGGCGAACGGGUGAGUAACACGUGAGUAACCUGCCUUUGACUUUGGGAUAACUUCAGGAAACUGGGGCUUAUACCGGAUAGGAGCUCCUGGUGCAUGGUGGGGGUUGGAAAGUUUCGGCGGUUGGGGAUGGACUCGCGGCUUAUCAGCUUGUUGGUGGGGUAGUGGCUUACCAAGGCCUUGACGGGUAGCCGGCCUGAGAGGGUGACCGGCCACAUUGGGACUGAGAUACGGCCCAGACUCCUACGGGAGGCAGCAGUGGGGAAUAUUGCACAAUGGGCGGAAGCCUGAUGCAGCAACGCCGCGUGCGGGAUGACGGCCUUCGGGUUGUAAACCGCUUUCGCCUGUGACGAAGCGUGAGUGACGGUAAUGGGUAAAGAAGCACCGGCUAACUACGUG